AAACAACAACAAAAUACAUCCUAUGAUGUUUACACAAUAGAUAACAAGCUUUACAACAAAAAUAUGAAUGAUUUACGGAAGAAAAACUAACCUAAUCGAAAAAACCCUAAUUUCUGAAAAUCAACAGAAACAUGGAUGGAAACCGUUGAGGGUACCAUCGAUCGAACGCUCACGACGAGUAGAACCAGAAUAUACCCGCUCUGAUACCAUGUUAACAA
RNAcentral lists this long non-coding RNA (218 nucleotides) under Nicotiana benthamiana. Its description in RNAcentral is "long non-coding RNA (NBEN_LNC016126)". The record is from RNAcentral. Lineage: Eukaryota; Viridiplantae; Streptophyta; Magnoliopsida; Solanales; Solanaceae.